GAUGAACGCUGGCGGCGUGCCUAAUACAUGCAAGUCGAGCGAACGGACGAGAAGCUUGCUUCUCUGAUGUUAGCGGCGGACGGGUGAGUAACACGUGGAUAACCUACCUAUAAGACUGGGAUAACUUCGGGAAACCGGAGCUAAUACCGGAUAAUAUUUUGAACCGCAUGGUUCAAAAGUGAAAGACGGUCUUGCUGUCACUUAUAGAUGGAUCCGCGCUGCAUUAGCUAGUUGGUAAGGUAACGGCUUACCAGGGCAACGAUGCAUAGCCGACCUGAGAGGGUGAUAGGCCACACGGGAACUGAGACACGGUCCAGACUCCUACGGGAGGCAGCAGUAUGGAAUCUGCCGCAAUGGGCGAGAGCCUGACGGAGCAACGCCGCGUGAGUGAUGAAGGUCUUCGGAUCGUAAAACUCUGUUAUUAGGGAAGAACAUAUGUGUAAGUAACUGUGCACAUCUUGACGGUACCUAAUCAGAAAGCCACGGCUAACUACGUG
RNAcentral lists this ribosomal RNA (497 nucleotides) under uncultured bacterium. RNAcentral's name for it is "partial 16S ribosomal RNA". It matches the Rfam family "Bacterial small subunit ribosomal RNA", at positions 28 to 507 of the family's 1533-position model. The record is from RNAcentral.